UACGUAGGGUGCAAGCGUUAAUCGGAAUUACUGGGCGUAAAGCGUGCGCAGGCGGUUAUGUAAGACAGGUGUGAAAUGCCCGGGCUUAACCUGGGAACUGCAUUUGUGACUGCAUGGCUAGAGUUUGGCAGAGGGGGGUAGAAUUCCACGUGUAGCAGUGAAAUGCGUAGAUAUGUGGAGGAACACCGAUGGCGAAGGCAGCCCCCGGGGUCAAGACUGACGCUCAUGCACGAAAGCGUGGGGAGCAAACAGG
RNAcentral lists this ribosomal RNA (253 nucleotides) under uncultured bacterium. RNAcentral describes it as "partial 16S ribosomal RNA". It matches the Rfam family "Bacterial small subunit ribosomal RNA", at positions 524 to 776 of the family's 1533-position model. The record is from RNAcentral.